AUGCUGAACGGGGGGAGGGAGGGCCUGUUUCAGCUGGGACAGCAGCUCCAGCAGCAGGGGGAGUACCAGGCCGCCCUACACUGCUUCCUCAGCUCUCUGCUGGGGUUGAGGCAUGUGCAGAGCUUUACCUCACUGCCCAACUGCCUGCAUCAGCACAGGAUCAGCAUGUUUCCUGUUGACAGUGCACGGUACACGGUGAAGAGAAGGAGUCUGUCUGUCUGUCUAGCACAAGAACAGACAGAAAAAUGUCAAAUGGCUCUUUUGAAUAUUGCUGAGCUCUUCAUCUCCGAAAAUAAUUACGGCAAGGCCCUGCAGUUCAUUCAGGCUGAGAAGAUGUUCUAUGAGGUUGCUCUGAUCGAGCUCACUGCUGUUCAGGGGAGCACAGGCCCCCAGGAGGAGGCUUUGCUGGGCUCAGCAGGGACAGGAUGGGCGUCCUCAGAGGAGCUAUCGGAUCAGGCUUCCCAGGCACAGCACCUGGAGCAGCUAGCCCAGCUCUGCAUCGUGAGUAAAAGACCUCAUCUUGCUUUAGAGUACAGUGGGAAAGCCACUAAGAUCCAUCAGAGGGCCUUUGGCAACGACCACCCCAUCACAGACAGGAGUCUGGAGCUGCUGGCCACCGUCUACGCAGAGAUCGGCAAGACAGAAUACUCAGACUCCCUGGACCAGUGUGUGUCAGUGCUGUCCAAGAGGUUUGCUUCUGCCGAGUCCUUCAGAGACAAACUCAACAACGGUCUUCCCCAUUCCCACUCCCAUUCCCAUCGGGAGAAACACUCCGAUGUCUGGCACAGGAAAGACCCCAGUCCACAGGAUGACACACCAAAACCGAAGGUCACCAACGGUAAAAUCCCUACAUCCAUACUGAAGAGGUCUGGCUCAGGAUCAGACUCGGAGCCCAGCCACAGAUGGAAAGGCGAGCGACGGGUCCGGUUCCGGGAGCCUGAGACCACCGUGCAUGCCUAUGACACGUCACCGCCACGCCCCCACCUGGCCCUGUUCACCUGCUUGUUUCUGCUGAUGUCACUGCUGGGCGUGGUCAUGUACAGCACGGACCGCCGGCGCCCACAGCGUGUGUGUGAGGAGCUGGAGGCCUCGCUGGCUGUCUAUCUGAUACACAUGAAACAGCUGCUGUGGGGCUGCUGGAUCUGGCUAACCAUGCAGUGA
RNAcentral lists this long non-coding RNA (1161 nucleotides) under Oncorhynchus kisutch (coho salmon). RNAcentral describes it as "lncRNA (ENSOKIG00005006422.1)". The record is from RNAcentral. Lineage: Eukaryota; Metazoa; Chordata; Actinopteri; Salmoniformes; Salmonidae.